GACGAACGCUGGCGGCGUGCUUAACACAUGCAAGUCGAACGUGAUUUUUGUGGAAAUUCUUUCGGGAAUGGAAAUGAAAUGAAAGUGGCGAACGGGUGAGUAACACGUGAGCAACCUACCUUACACAGGGGGAUAGCCGUUGGAAACGACGAUUAAUACCGCAUGAGACCACAGAAUCGCAUGAUAUAGGGGUCAAAGAUUUAUCGGUGUAAGAAGGGCUCGCGUCUGAUUAGCUAGUUGGAAGGGUAAAGGCCUACCUAGGCAACGAUACAUAGCCGACCUGAGAGGGUGAUCGGCCACACUGGGACUGAGACACGGCCCAGACUCCUACGGGAGGCAGCAGUAGGGAAUCUUCGGCAAUGGGGGGAACCCUGACCGAGCAACGCCGCGUGAGUGAAGAAGGUUUUCGGAUCGUAAAGCUCUGUUGUUAAGGAAGAACGAGUGUGAGAAUGGAAAGUUCAUACUGUGACGGUACUUAACCAGAAAGGGACGGCUAACUACGUGCCAGCAGCCGCGGUAAUACGUAGGUCCCGAGCGUUGUCCGGAUUUAUUGGGCGUAAAGCGAGCGCAGGCGGUUAGAAAAGUCUGAAGUGAAAGGCAGUGGCUCAACCAUUGUAGGCUUUGGAAACUGUUUAACUUGAGUGCAGAAGGGGAGAGUGGAAUUCCAUGUGUAGCGGUGAAAUGCGUAGAUAUAUGGAGGAACACCGGUGGCGAAAGCGGCUCUCUGGUCUGUAACUGACGCUGAGGCUCGAAAGCGUGGGGAGCGAACAGG
RNAcentral lists this ribosomal RNA (772 nucleotides) under uncultured Pseudomonas sp. Its description in RNAcentral is "bacterial SSU rRNA". It matches the Rfam family "Bacterial small subunit ribosomal RNA", at positions 28 to 776 of the family's 1533-position model. The record is from RNAcentral. Lineage: Bacteria; Pseudomonadati; Pseudomonadota; Gammaproteobacteria; Pseudomonadales; Pseudomonadaceae.